Molecule: ribosomal RNA, 482 nt
Filed under: uncultured bacterium
Lineage: Bacteria
Description: bacterial SSU rRNA
Rfam family: Bacterial small subunit ribosomal RNA
Source: RNAcentral
CGAACGCUGGCGGCGCGCCUAAUACAUGCAAGUCGAGCGAGAAGGUGUAGCAAUACACUUGUAAAGCGGCGAACGGGUGAGGAAUACAUGGGUAACCUACCCUCGAGUGGGGAAUAACUAGCCGAAAGGUUAGCUAAUACCGCAUACGAUUCCCGGUCUGCGGAUCGGGAAGGAAAGCGAUACCGUGGGUAUCGCGCUCCUGGAUGGGCUCAUGUCCUAUCAGCUUGUUGGUGAGGUAACGGCUCACCAAGGCUUCGACGGGUAGCUGGUCUGAGAGGACGAUCAGCCACACUGGCACUGCGACACGGGCCAGACUCCUACGGGAGGCAGCAGUAAGGAAUAUUGCGCAAUGGGCGAAAGCCUGACGCAGCGACGCCGCGUGGGGGAUGAAGGUCUUCGGAUUGUAAACCCCUUUCGGGAGGGAAGAUGGAAUGGGUAACCAUUCGGACGGUACCUCCAGAAGCAGCCACGGCUAACUUCGU